UGUCCCAAAGACGCCUCCACCGAUCUCGUCUGAUCUCGGAAGCUAAGCAGGGUCGGGCCUGGUUAGUACUUGGAUGGGAGACACCCUUCCUUAACUUCUCCUUCUGACAAUAGGCUGGCUUCAGGAUAA
This 129-nucleotide ribosomal RNA is filed under the name Dasypus novemcinctus (nine-banded armadillo). Lineage: Eukaryota; Metazoa; Chordata; Mammalia; Cingulata; Dasypodidae. The record is from RNAcentral.